RNAcentral lists this ribosomal RNA (402 nucleotides) under uncultured prokaryote. RNAcentral's name for it is "bacterial SSU rRNA". It matches the Rfam family "Bacterial small subunit ribosomal RNA", at positions 355 to 774 of the family's 1533-position model. The record is from RNAcentral.
UGGGGAAUAUUGGACAAUGGGCGAAAGCCUGAUCCAGCCAUGCCGCGUGAGUGAUGAAGGCCUUAGGGUUGUAAAGCUCUUUUAGUGGGGAAGAUAAUGACGGUACCCACAGAAAAAGCCCCGGCUAACUUCGUGCCAGCAGCCGCGGUAAUACGAAGGGGGCUAGCGUUGUUCGGAUUUACUGGGCGUAAAGCGCACGUAGGCGGAUCGUUAAGUUGGGGGUGAAAUCCUGGAGCUCAACUCCAGAACUGCCUUCAAUACUGGCGAUCUAGAGUCCGGAAGAGGUGAGUGGAACUCCUAGUGUAGAGGUGGAAUUCGUAGAUAUUAGGAAGAACACCAGUGGCGAAGGCGGCUCACUGGUCCGGUACUGACGCUGAGGUGCGAAAGCGUGGGGAGCAAACA